GGGCUUUUCACUUAGUGGUAGAGUAUUGCUUUGGCAAGACGAAAGUCAUCGGUUCGAAUCCGAGAAAGUACU
RNAcentral lists this transfer RNA (72 nucleotides) under Cenchrus purpureus (Napier grass). RNAcentral's name for it is "tRNA-Ala". It matches the Rfam family "tRNA". Rfam says of the family: Transfer RNA (tRNA) molecules are approximately 80 nucleotides in length. Lineage: Eukaryota; Viridiplantae; Streptophyta; Magnoliopsida; Poales; Poaceae. The record is from RNAcentral.